AUGUACAAAUUAGGGGAAGUGAAGCAAAAGAAAGUGCCUUUAAAAAGGAGUGACAACUGCCUGAGUGCAAUUCGACUUGGAAUUCUCACUUGGAGUAGAACCUCCUGUGAGAGAGAGUUCUACUGGGAGCUCUACUGGGAGUGGAGGCUGAUAAAGAAUCUGCUGACUGGACUGACACAUGGUUCUACUUCACACUUAGCAGACUGGCCAAUAUGACAGCAAAGGAAAAUAAUAAAUGUUGGAGGGAAUGCGGCA
This 255-nucleotide long non-coding RNA is filed under the name Monodelphis domestica (gray short-tailed opossum). RNAcentral describes it as "lncRNA (ENSMODG00000046075.1)". Lineage: Eukaryota; Metazoa; Chordata; Mammalia; Didelphimorphia; Didelphidae. The record is from RNAcentral.